Molecule: ribosomal RNA, 454 nt
Filed under: uncultured organism
Description: partial 16S ribosomal RNA
Rfam family: Bacterial small subunit ribosomal RNA
Source: RNAcentral
ACGUACACUCCUACGGGAGGCAGCAGUGGGGAAUAUUGGACAAUGGGCGCAAGCCUGAUCCAGCCAUGCCGCGUGAGUGAUGAAGGCCCUAGGGUUGUAAAGCUCUUUCACCGGAGAAGAUAAUGACGGUAUCCGGAGAAGAAGCCCCGGCUAACUUCGUGCCAGCAGCCGCGGUAAUACGAAGGGGGCUAGCGUUGUUCGGAAUUACUGGGCGUAAAGCGCACGUAGGCGGAUCGAUCAGUCAGGGGUGAAAUCCCAGGGCUCAACCCUGGAACUGCCUUUGAUACUGUCGAUCUGGAGUAUGGAAGAGGUGAGUGGAAUUCCGAGUGUAGAGGUGAAAUUCGUAGAUAUUCGGAGGAACACCAGUGGCGAAGGCGGCUCACUGGUCCAUUACUGACGCUGAGGUGCGAAAGCGUGGGGAGCAAACAGGAUUAGAUACCCUUGUAGUCCCAUG